RNAcentral lists this ribosomal RNA (414 nucleotides) under uncultured bacterium. RNAcentral describes it as "bacterial SSU rRNA". It matches the Rfam family "Bacterial small subunit ribosomal RNA", at positions 8 to 436 of the family's 1533-position model. The record is from RNAcentral.
AGAGUUUGAUCCUGGCUCAGAAUCAACGCUGGCGGCGUGCCUAACACAUGCAAGUCGAACGAGAAAGUGGAGCAAUCCAUGAGUAAAGUGGCGACCGGGUGAGUAACACGUGACUAACCUGCCUUCGAGUGGGGGAUAACCUCGGGAAACCGGGGCUAAUACCGCAUAAUAUCCACGGAUCAAAGGAGCAAUUCGCUUGAAGAGGGGGUCGCGGCUGAUUAGUUAGUUGGCGGGGUAAUGGCCCACCAAGACAAUGAUCGGUAGCCGGCCUGAGAGGGCGCACGGCCACACUGGAACUGAAACACGGUCCAGACUCCUACGGGAGGCAGCAGUGGGGAAUUUUGCGCAAUGGGGGAAACCCUGACGCAGCAACGCCGCGUGGAGGAUGAAGUCCCUUGGGACGUAAACUCCUUC